This is a non-coding RNA of Pelobates cultripes (western spadefoot toad), 211 nucleotides long. Lineage: Eukaryota; Metazoa; Chordata; Amphibia; Anura; Pelobatidae. The record is from the annotation of a GenBank genome assembly.
UGUUUAACUAAGCAUGCGGUGAAGCUUUCAGUAUAUUUCACCUUAUGUGUAAUUAAGUAAGCUUUGCCUUUCUAUUGUAAGCUUAAUAUAGGUCAGAAGAUAUAUAACAAAUUACAGCAGCGUACCAGAUAGCCUCUGGAUGCUGUAGGGCGCCAAUAUCCUAUGCUCGCAGAAGCCACUUGCAACGUCCUAAGGACAAUUUCAAUAUAGG